GAACUUUAUCUCGGGCGGGGCUCGCAAAACAAGGGAUUGACCCUUAAAAUUUAUUGAUGCAAGAUUGAUGAACUCAGAAUAUAAAUCCCAGUACCCAGAUGAAUAAUACAUCUAAAAAUCUCAAAAAAUUAAGAAAAUUGUCGGCAAAAAAUAAACGAUUUUAUGUCCGCAAAAUUUUUUCCGGCACCAAAUGAACCAUUUAAUUUGUCCGGCGCCAUAUGUCGUGAAAAUUUUUUGAUC
Paramuricea clavata is the source of this 240-nucleotide non-coding RNA. The record is from the annotation of a GenBank genome assembly. Lineage: Eukaryota; Metazoa; Cnidaria; Anthozoa; Malacalcyonacea; Plexauridae.